This 344-nucleotide ribosomal RNA is filed under the name uncultured bacterium. RNAcentral describes it as "bacterial SSU rRNA". It matches the Rfam family "Bacterial small subunit ribosomal RNA", at positions 8 to 334 of the family's 1533-position model. The record is from RNAcentral.
AGGGUUUGAUUAUGGCUCAGGAUGAACGCUGGCGGCGUGCUUAACACAUGCAAGUCGAACGAAGCAAUCUAACGGAAGUUUUCGGAUGGAAGCUGGAUUGACUGAGUGGCGGACGGGUGAGUAACGCGUGGGUAACCUGCCUCACACUGGGGGACAACAGUUAGAAAUGACUGCUAAUACCGCAUAAGCGCACAGGACCGCAUGGUCCGGUGUGAAAAACUCCGGUGGUGUGAGAUGGACCCGCGUUUGAUUAGCUAGUUGGUGGGGUAACGGCCUACCAAGGCGACGAUCAAUAGCCGACCUGAGAGGGUGACCGGCCACAUUGGGACUGAGACACGGCCCAA